This 500-nucleotide ribosomal RNA is filed under the name uncultured bacterium. Its description in RNAcentral is "partial 16S ribosomal RNA". It matches the Rfam family "Bacterial small subunit ribosomal RNA", at positions 27 to 507 of the family's 1533-position model. The record is from RNAcentral.
GGAUGAACGCUGGCGGCGUGCCUAAUACAUGCAAGUCGAGCGAACAGACGAGAGUGCUUGCACUCUCUGACGUUAGCGGCGGACGGGUGAGUAACACGUGGGUAACCUACCUAUAAGACUGGGAUAACCUCGGGAAACCGUAGCUAAUACCGGAUAAUAUUUAGCUUCGCAUGAAGCAAUAGUGAAAGACGGUUCUGCUGUCACUUAUAGAUGGACCCGCGGUGUAUUAGCUAGUUGGUGAGGUAACGGCUCACCAAGGCAACGAUACAUAGCCGACCUGAGAGGGUGAUCGGCCACACUGGGACUGAGACACGGCCCAGACUCCUACGGGAGGCAGCAGUAGGGAAUCUUCCGCAAUGGACGGAAGUCUGACGGAGCAAUGCCGCGUGAGUGAAGAAGGUUUUCGGAUCGUAAAACUCUGUUGUAAGGGAAGAACAAGUACGUUAGUAACUGAACGUACCUUGACGGUACCUUACCAGAAAGCCACGGCUAACUACGUG